This 252-nucleotide ribosomal RNA is filed under the name uncultured microorganism. RNAcentral describes it as "partial 16S ribosomal RNA". It matches the Rfam family "Bacterial small subunit ribosomal RNA", at positions 524 to 776 of the family's 1533-position model. The record is from RNAcentral.
UACGUAGGGUGCGAGCGUUGUCCGGAUUUAUUGGGCGUAAAGCGAGCGCAGGUGGUUUAAUAAGUCUGAUGUAAAAGGCAGUGGCUCAACCAUUGUGUGCAUUGGAAACUGUUAGACUUGAGUGCAGUAGAGGAGAGUGGAAUUCCAUGUGUAGCGGUGAAAUGCGUAGAUAUAUGGAGGAACACCGGUGGCGAAAGCGGCUCUCUGGCCUGUAACUGACACUGAGGCUCGAAAGCGUGGGUAGCAAACAGG